GACGAACGCUGGCGGCGUGCCUAAUACAUGCAAGUCGAACGCAGUGGGGACGGGUGCGUAACACGUGGGUAACCUCCCAUCAGAGGGGAUAACCCUUGGAAACAGGUGCUAAACCGAUACUGAUGGAUGGACCCGCGGUGCAUUAGCUAGUUGGUGAGGUAACGGCGCACCAAGGCCACGAUGCAUAGCGGCCCUGAGAGGGGGAUCGGCCACACUGGGACUGGGAAACGGCCCAGAUUCCUACGGGAGGCAGAAGUAGGAAUAUUUCGGAAAUGGACGAAAGUCUGACCAAGCAACGCCGGGUGAGGGAAGAAGGUUUUCGGAUCGUAAAACUCUGUGGUUAGAGAAGCGGAAUCGAACAAGAAAGCCACGGCUAACUACGUGCCAGCGGCGGCGGUAAUC
This 402-nucleotide ribosomal RNA is filed under the name uncultured bacterium. Its description in RNAcentral is "partial 16S ribosomal RNA". It matches the Rfam family "Bacterial small subunit ribosomal RNA", at positions 28 to 525 of the family's 1533-position model. The record is from RNAcentral.